GAUGCUUGAAGAAGUAUCAGUUCCUGCAGUGAAUAAAUUCAAAAGAAGAGCUUUAAUGUUGGUGAUACUGAGCCUUUCCCCAUCGGAAUUUUCUCUAUUAGCCAUAACAACAUCAAGAAAGUCAGGCUUCCCUUUGCGCAGAUGGGUGGUAGCCAUAUGAUCCUCCAUCAUUUUUGUCAAUAACGCAUCAAAUUUCUUAUGCAAUUUCUUCAUCCCUCGUUCUAUCCCUUGCAAAUCCAUCCAAGCAAUUGAAGGUAUGAAGUCACCAAUGUUGAAGAAUCCUGCAGAGGUCAUUAGCUCUACCACCAUGUCCUUGAACUCGUUAGACUCUGAACCUUUGGUCACAAACACCCGACGGCUAAGAAUUAUUUGGCCAAUCAUAUUAGCCAUGGCAUAGGUUAACAUUUCCGGUACCACCACUGGUUCAUUUCUUUGGCUAGCUUCACACAUGGCUCGAAGCAUAUGACCUAGCUCAGCAGACCUAACCUGACCCCAGUCCUCCAGAGCUUUACCACCUAGCAUAUGAAGGUUACUUAACUUGCGUAAUAGUUUCCACCUGGGACCAUAAUCUGCAAAAACCAUGUCUUGAGCGUUAUAGGCUAAGUG
This 606-nucleotide unclassified non-coding RNA is filed under the name Hevea brasiliensis (rubber tree). Lineage: Eukaryota; Viridiplantae; Streptophyta; Magnoliopsida; Malpighiales; Euphorbiaceae. The record is from RNAcentral.